This is a long non-coding RNA of Cyprinodon variegatus (sheepshead minnow), 407 nucleotides long. RefSeq lists it as uncharacterized. Lineage: Eukaryota; Metazoa; Chordata; Actinopteri; Cyprinodontiformes; Cyprinodontidae. The record is from RefSeq and is a predicted model, not a curated record. The transcript has 3 exons.
AGAGACGCUCCUCUUCCUCACUGCUCUCUCCCUCCAUCUUCCUCCUACUCCUCCUCCUCCUAUUCCACUUUGCUGGCUCUCCUCUUCCUCCUCCUCCUCAGACAGACGGACUGGUCCAACUCCUCACCUUCAUCGCUUCAACCAUCAUCAUCUUCAGAGGAAGAAGACAGGGAGCCCCCUGACCCUCGCCAUGGCAACGGUCAUCAGCACGCGGUUCUCUGAUGAGUACCAGCUUUACGAGGAGCUGGGGAAGGGAGCGUUUUCAGUGGUGCGUCGCUGUGUGAAGGUUCUGUCGGGUCAGGAGUACGCCGCCAAGAUCAUCAACACCAAGAAACUGUCUGCUCGAGAUCAUCAGAAGUUGGAUCGAGAAGCUCGAAUCUGUCGUUUACUGAAACACCCCAACAUCG